RNAcentral lists this unclassified non-coding RNA (244 nucleotides) under Hevea brasiliensis (rubber tree). Lineage: Eukaryota; Viridiplantae; Streptophyta; Magnoliopsida; Malpighiales; Euphorbiaceae. The record is from RNAcentral.
GCUUUAUUUCAUCAAACUAUCAAUUGUCAGUGGUGAGUUGGCGAAUGUUCUAAAAAGAUAAAGUUAUGUUUUCUUCCGUAUUUUCUCUCUUUGAUCCUGCCCCAAGGGAGAAGGGAAUAGCAUACCUGUAAACAAUGACCGCCAUAUCUAGGAAUAGUUUCUCCUCCGAGAAACACUGCCAUGUCCAGAAACCCCUGAACUACCACUUCGUCCCAUAGAAAAACUUCCAUAGGCCCCAUAAGCA